This 1493-nucleotide ribosomal RNA is filed under the name uncultured prokaryote. RNAcentral's name for it is "partial 16S ribosomal RNA". It matches the Rfam family "Bacterial small subunit ribosomal RNA". The record is from RNAcentral.
ACGAACGCUGGCGGCGUGGAUAAGACAUGCAAGUCGAACGCUGAUUUGAAGGUAGCAAUAUUUUCAAGUUGGAGGGGCGAAAGGGUGCGUAACACGUGGGUAAUUUGCCUUGAAGUUGGGGAUAACUUGCCGAAAGGUGAGCUAAUACCGAAUGUGGUCUCUCGGCGGCAUCACCGAGAGUCUAAAGCUGGGGAUCUUCGGACCUGGCGCUUCAAGAUAAGCCGCGGCCUAUCAGCUUGUUGGUAAGGUAAAAGCUUACCAAGGCAACGACGGGUAGCUGGUCUGAGAGGACGAUCAGCCACACUGGAACUGAGACACGGUCCAGACACCUACGGGUGGCAGCAGUCGAGAAUCUUUCACAAUGGGCGAAAGCCUGAUGGAGCGACGCCGCGUGGGGGAUGAAGGUCUUCGGAUCGUAAACCCCUGUCAUCUGUGAGCAAUGCUUUCCCCGUUUAAUACACGGAAUGUUGAUAGUAGCAGAAGAGGAAGGGACGGCUAACUCUGUGCCAGCAGCCGCGGUAAUACAGAGGUCCCAAGCGUUGUUCGGAUUCACUGGGCGUAAAGGGUGCGUAGGUGGCGAGAUAAGUUCGACGUGAAAUCUCCGAGCUCAACUCGGAAACUGCAUUGAAUACUAUCUCACUAGAGGAUCGGAGGGGAGACUGGAAUUCUCGGUGUAGCAGUGAAAUGCGUAGAUAUCGAGAGGAACACCAGGGGGCGAAGGCGAGUCUCUGGACGAUUCCUGACACUGAGGCACGAAAGCUAGGGGAGCAAACAGGAUUAGAUACCCUGGUAGUCCUAGCCGUAAACGGUGCACAUUUGCUGUAAGAGGAUUCGACCCCUUUUGUGGCGUAGCUAACGCGUUAAAUGUGCCGCCUGGGAAGUACGGUCGCAAGGCUAAAACUCAAAGAAAUUGACGGGGGCCUGCACAAGCGGUGGAGUAUGUGGCUUAAUUCGAUGCAACGCGAAGAACCUUACCUGGCCUUGACAUGCAUCUAGUAGAAACCUGAAAGGGCGACGAGCUAGCAAUAGGAAUUUGCACAGGUGCUGCAUGGCUGUCGUCAGCUCGUGUCGUGAGAUGUUGGGUUAAGUCCCGCAACGAGCGCAACCCUUGUGUCCUGUUGCCACUCGAACUUCGGUUCGGAGCACUCUGGACAGACUGCCUGGUUCCAACCAGGAGGAAGGUGGGGAUGACGUCAAGUCAGUAUGGCCCUUACGGCCAGGGCUGCACACGUACUACAAUGCCCGGCACAGAGGGAAGCAAGACCGCAAGGUGGAGCAAAUCCCUAAAAACCGGGCUCAGUUCGGAUUGUCGUCUGCAACUCGACGGCAUGAAGCUGGAAUCGCUAGUAAUGGCGCAUCAGCUACGGCGCCGUGAAUACGUUCCCAGGCCUUGUACACACCGCCCGUCACAUCAUGAAAGCCGAUCAUACCCGAAGUCGCCGAGCCAACCCUCGGGAGGCAGGCGCCGAAGGUAAGAUUGGUGAUUGGGAUGA